CGUGGGGAACCUGCCCCAUAGUCUGGGAUACCACUUGGAAACAGGUGCUAAUACCGGAUAAGAAAGCGGAUCGCAUGAUCAGCUUUUAAAAGGCGGCGUAAGCUGUCGCUAUGGGAUGGCCCCGCGGUGCAUUAGCUAGUUGGUAAGGUAAAGGCUUAGCAAGGCGAUGAUGCAUAGCCGAGUUGAGAGACUGAUCGGCCACAUUGGGACUGAGACACGGCCCAAACUCCUACGGGAGGCAGCAGCC
RNAcentral lists this ribosomal RNA (247 nucleotides) under uncultured Lactobacillus sp. RNAcentral's name for it is "partial 16S ribosomal RNA". It matches the Rfam family "Bacterial small subunit ribosomal RNA", at positions 116 to 355 of the family's 1533-position model. Lineage: Bacteria; Bacillati; Bacillota; Bacilli; Lactobacillales; Lactobacillaceae. The record is from RNAcentral.